This 413-nucleotide long non-coding RNA is filed under the name Pan troglodytes (chimpanzee). RNAcentral describes it as "long non-coding RNA NONPTRT002166". Lineage: Eukaryota; Metazoa; Chordata; Mammalia; Primates; Hominidae. The record is from RNAcentral.
AAUCUUCAGGAUAGAUCUUCAGUUCUCAUGACCACAAAAGACCAAGGUUCAGACAGGAGAAGAGACGCGGCCCGGCAGUGUGUCCCUAGAGCCUAUGAUCUUGCCACUAGGUUACAGUGCUUCCAGGUAUCACAUGGAAGCUGAGAGUGCUGAGGGCACAUCUGAAACCACUGGAGUUUGGCGACAUGGAGGUCAGGUAGUAGUGCUCUCCCACCAGGAGUCCCUCUGCACCCCUGGAAAGAGCAGUCAUUAUGCAGGACAACCCAUCUGCUCAGAAUUUUCGGUGGUGGCUUGUGCUGUGACUCUGGUCCCAUUCAUCUAUGUGCUCCUGUAGGCUUAGCUUCCCACAGCCUCCCCGGUUUUGCCAUUUGUCAUUAUCAUUCACUCUUAAAAUGUAUUCUAUCUAUGACCCU